AGAGUUUGAUCCUGGCUCAGGACGAACGCUGGCGGCGUGCCUAACACAUGCAAGUCGAGCGAAGUGACUCUGAGAGAAAUUUUCGGAUGGAUCGAAGAGUCAUCUUAGCGGCGGACGGGUGAGUAACGCGUGAGAAACCUGCCUUUCACAAAGGGAUAGCCUCGGGAAACUGGGAUUAAUACCUUAUGAAACUGAAUUACCGCAUGGUAGAUCAGUCAAAGCGAAUAAGCGGUGAAAGAUGGUCUCGCGUCCUAUUAGCUAGUUGGUGAGGUAACGGCUCACCAAGGCUUCGAUAGGUAGCCGGCCUGAGAGGGUGAACGGCCACACUGGAACUGAGACACGGUCCAGACUCCUACGGGAGGCAGCAGUGGGGAAUAUUGCACAAUGGAGGAAACUCUGAUGCAGCGACGCCGCGUGAAUGAUGAAGGCCUUCGGGUUGUAAAGUUCUGUCCUUGGGGAAGAUAAUGACGGUACCCAAGGAGGAAGCCCCGGCUAACUACGUGCCAGCAGCCGCGGUAAUACGUAGGGGGCGAGCGUUGUCCGGAAUUAUUGGGCGUAAAGGGUUCGCAGGCGGUCUGAUAAGUCAGAUGUGAAAGGCGUAGGCUCAACCUACGUAAGCAUUUGAAACUGUCAGACUUGAGUUAAGGAGAGGAAAGUGGAAUUCCUAGUGUAGCGGUGAAAUGCGUAGAUAUUAGGAGGAAUACCAGUGGCGAAGGCGACUUUCUGGACUUAUACUGACGCUGAGGAACGAAAGCGUGGGGAGCAAACAGGAUUAGAUACCCUGGUAGUCCACGCCGUAAACGAUGAGUGCUAGGUGU
RNAcentral lists this ribosomal RNA (818 nucleotides) under Firmicutes bacterium UBA5561. RNAcentral's name for it is "bacterial SSU rRNA". It matches the Rfam family "Bacterial small subunit ribosomal RNA", at positions 8 to 823 of the family's 1533-position model. The record is from RNAcentral. Lineage: Bacteria; Bacillati; Bacillota.